Molecule: long non-coding RNA, 777 nt
Filed under: Homo sapiens (human)
Lineage: Eukaryota; Metazoa; Chordata; Mammalia; Primates; Hominidae
Description: non-protein coding lnc-ENDOD1-1:5
Source: RNAcentral
CUGGUGAGGUGGGACUUCAAUGCCUUUUAGGUUUACAGUCUUUUCCUCCCCACGGCUUCUCUUUCCUCCCCGUCUCAGGCACUGGGCAUUUCCAGUCGAUCCAGCAGGUCUGGCUUCUCUCACAUAUGCAGUAAGGGUUAGGGGAGAAGGUCCCAGCUCCUCUUGUCUCUAGCAGAGUGUAAACUGGCUCUGCUGAGGAGGUGGCUGUGCUUUUAUUCCUUCUCCUGAGAACUGUUUAUAUAUUAAGGAGCUUCACAGCCUCCAACAUAAGGAAAGCAGGCCUCAAACUUCUUCAUGGGAAAAGAUGGCUUCUCUUUUUUAAUUGAAUGAACUAGAAGAAGUUCAUUGUUAUUCAUCAACUUCAAAGAGACUAUAUGAGGCCCCUUGGCCAGGACUACAGAGCAGUAUUUUUUAAUCAGAAAUUAUAGCCAAAAAGAAGAGACCAGAACACAUGGGUCUCCAGCGUACCAGGAUUUGUGAAGGCCUGAAGUUCGUAGAAUGAAAUCUAUGUGGAGAUGAUUUAAAAGAACGGUUUCACUGCUAAAAUCCUUUCGAAAUGAGUUCCUUUAAGUUCUUCAGUAACUAAAUCCUCCAGAAAGGAAAGCCGAGAGAAUCUAGUCCUAUACAAUAACACCCUCUAACAAAGAUCGCUAAAGGAAGAUUUUAGUAGAUGAAUAUCUUCAAUAAUACAUGGUCACAUACAUGUAUCUGACCAUAUGAUGGCUCUCUGCACCAAAUUCCUCCAAACUAUUAUAAUAUGUAUUGUCUGUAGUGCUA